GACGAACGCUGGCGGCGUGCUUAACACAUGCAAGUCGAACGGAAAGGCCCACCACCUUGGUGGUGGGUACUCGAGUGGCGAACGGGUGAGUAACACGUGGGUGAUCUGCCCCGCACUGUGGGAUAAGCCUGGGAAACUGGGUCUAAUACCACAUACGACCAUGGCGUAGGGGUCAUGGUGGAAAGCUUUAUUGCGGUGUGGGAUGAGCCCGCGGCCUAUCAGCUUGUUGGUGGGGUAACGGCCUACCAAGGCGGCGACGGGUAGCCGGCCUGAGAGGGUGGACGGCCACAUUGGGACUGAGACACGGCCCAGACUCCUACGGGAGGCAGCAGUGGGGAAUAUUGCACAAUGGGCGCAAGCCUGAUGCAGCGACGCCGCGUGGGGGAUGAAGGCCUUCGGGUUGUAAACUCCUUUCGCCCGGGACGAAGCCCACC
Molecule: ribosomal RNA, 434 nt
Filed under: Corynebacterium durum
Lineage: Bacteria; Bacillati; Actinomycetota; Actinomycetes; Mycobacteriales; Corynebacteriaceae
Description: bacterial SSU rRNA
Rfam family: Bacterial small subunit ribosomal RNA
Source: RNAcentral